GGUUGCAGAACCAGGGAUGGUGUGGUACCUGAGAUAUAGCAGUGCAGAGAUGUUGCAUCAAUAGAGAGGUUGCACUAAUGGAGUUGUUGCACUACCAGAGAUGUUAAUCUGCCAAAAAAGUUGCAUUACCAGAGCUGUCGCACUACUAGAGUUGUUGCAUUAACUGUGUUGUUGUAUUAUCAGAGCUAAGGUGCUGCCAGAGAUGCUGCAUAACCAUAAG
This is a non-coding RNA of Pelobates cultripes (western spadefoot toad), 220 nucleotides long. NCBI's taxonomy places the organism in Eukaryota, Metazoa, Chordata, Amphibia, Anura, Pelobatidae. The record is from the annotation of a GenBank genome assembly.